GCUCCUCUCAUAGCCUUUACACUGGGCUAUUCCCUCUGGCUGGAACACCCUUCCAGGUGUUUUCCUUGGGCUUGACUUCCAUGACUCAGAGCUCAGAUAGCAUUCCUCUGAGCCCCUUCCCUGAUGAUCCUCAAAUGGAGCUCAGGGACAGGGGGAUUUCUGUCUGCUUUGCUCAUCAUUAUAUUCUUAGCACCUAGAACAGGGCUGGCACAUGGCAGGCACUUGAAAAAUACCUGCGGAGUUAUUAGAACAAAGCAGCUUCUACAAAAAGAACUGGGUUGCAUAAGUUGUGGCAUUCUGUGGGCAAGACAAGAAUUGAGGAAUGAACAAAGAAGAGGAGAGAAGACAUGAGCUUUUACAGUGUGGAGGACAAACAUGGAUAGCUGGAGACAAAAUAGGGCACGGGGUUUGGGACCCUGUCACCACCUUCUCUGAUGUGGAAAAUAAUCUGUGUUGUGAUUAAAGCCAAAUGCAGUUUUCAUUCACAGACAAGGACAUUCUUGAAGACAUCAGAAAAGGAGACAAUCUCUCCCCCAUCCCUCCAGCUGCUCUUCCUCAGUUUCCAGGUUUGAUCACCAAAAUAAAGCAUGGGCAGCAGGGCUGAAGACAGGGACCCAGACGAAGCAACGACAGAUCCGCAUGUAGUGGGAAGAAGAUUUAGAACCAUCCAACAUGCCUCGAUGAUCUUUGACAAGACACAGAAAAUGCUCUUGUUGCUGUGUUUGCUGGGAUAGCUUUACCCUCCUGACAACACCCCUCAGAGACAGUACUGUUAUCCAUUUCGGGGAAGCCGAGGUCGAGAGAGGAGAAGUCACAUGUCCCAGGUCACCCAGUUAGCAGGUACGACCCUGGAUCCUGGUGUUCUGUCUCCACAGCUGUCCUCUUCCCGCUGCUUCCUGCAAAGGUCAUUAACAUGGAUUUGAGGAACCCAGAGGCAUGAAUGGACAUGGCAGAGAGAACCCGAGCUGUGGAAUCAGCACAUCUGAGUUUGCACCCAGCUCCAACCCCCACUUGUGGCAUUGCCUUAGCAAACAUUUGACCUCUGCUUUAUGUUCCCUAGUUAUUGAACAGGCUGGGAGCUCCUGCCUCUUAGAUUUUAAUGCCCUAUUCACCUCGCACCAGAAAUAAAAUGCAGGUGAUGAUGAAAA
Molecule: long non-coding RNA, 1148 nt
Organism: Mustela lutreola (European mink)
Lineage: Eukaryota; Metazoa; Chordata; Mammalia; Carnivora; Mustelidae
Exons: 2
Source: RefSeq, a predicted model, not a curated record